UCCAGGGUAGCCGAGUGGACAAGACACCUGCCCGGUAAGCAGAAGGGUGUGGGUUCGAUUCCCGCCCCUGGAC
Molecule: transfer RNA, 73 nt
Filed under: Cordylochernes scorpioides
Lineage: Eukaryota; Metazoa; Arthropoda; Arachnida; Pseudoscorpiones; Chernetidae
Description: tRNA-Thr
Rfam family: tRNA
About the family: Transfer RNA (tRNA) molecules are approximately 80 nucleotides in length. Their secondary structure includes four short double-helical elements and three loops (D, anti-codon, and T loops). Further hydrogen bonds mediate the characteristic L-shaped molecular structure. tRNAs have two regions of fundamental functional importance: the anti-codon, which is responsible for specific mRNA codon recognition, and the 3' end, to which the tRNAs corresponding amino acid is attached (by aminoacyl-tRNA synthetases). tRNAs cope with the degeneracy of the genetic code in two manners: having more than one tRNA (with a specific anti-codon) for a particular amino acid; and 'wobble' base-pairing, i.e. permitting non-standard base-pairing at the 3rd anti-codon position.
Source: RNAcentral